RNAcentral lists this long non-coding RNA (699 nucleotides) under Felis catus (domestic cat). RNAcentral describes it as "lncRNA (ENSFCAG00000053033.1)". Lineage: Eukaryota; Metazoa; Chordata; Mammalia; Carnivora; Felidae. The record is from RNAcentral.
AUGUGUCUGUGGUUCCUCAGUGAGGGGGACAUUGUGGACCCCUGCAUAAAGGGAAUGGUCAACUGGCUCUGCCUGCCAGACCUACUCAAGUGUUUCUUGGCCUGGAUCCUGAAGUACACAGAACCCAGAGCUAGCCAGACUUGUGAAGAGAUUCGUGGAGUGGGGUGAAUGCUAGUCUCCUCGGGUCAAGCUCACAAGCAUCUUCCAUGGGGUAGGGGAGUUGAGUGAGGGUCAUGUGGCUAGAGUUGGCAUCCACUGAGGGUGAGGGCUAUUUAGACUUUGGGAUCUAAUUAGGUUUUUGGGUCAUGUCUGACACUAAAUUUAGACUUUUGAGUGGGGUUGGGAUUGGGGCUACUUUGGGCCUGAGGUUUGAUUUGGAGUUAAGCUCUGAGUUCUGGCUAGAAUUAGCUUAGGGUAAAAGUUGGGCCUAAUCUGAGGUUGGGUUUAGGCUGGGGUUGGGGUUAAGGUUGGAAAUGGUCAGCCUGAGGGCUGACUGGGGGGCCUCACAGGUUAGGGGAAGAACCCGUGGUUCUGGGGGGAGGCUGUGAGUCUCUGUGGCUGGUGACGGUGGCGGGGGGAGGGCAUCAACCAGAGGGUGUGUACUCUUGGGAACGUUGGGUAGGCAAGGUAUUUUGGACAGCAAAUAAGACAAGGGUCAUCCCAGCCCAUCAGCUGAUUUGUAGCCUGCACUGAGACUAG